CCUCCAGCCCAGACUUAGCCAAUUUUCAGCUUCGUCCGUUUUCGCUCCGUUUUCGUUCGUUUGACCUCCGAUUCGUUUCAAAUCGAACCGAGACUCUCCAAACAUGUUUUCAAACAUGUUUUCAUCAUCUUUCCAUUCUCGCUAAUGCCGGAUUUAGCUCACGGCCCAACUUAGCCUUUCGGGUUCCGUUUUCGCGCCUAUGCGCACCGAAACGCCCGAUUGCUCUAGAACUUCACCAAACUUCACCGAGACCAUUCAAAUAGCUCUCCAACCAAAU
Molecule: long non-coding RNA, 277 nt
Filed under: Ananas comosus (pineapple)
Lineage: Eukaryota; Viridiplantae; Streptophyta; Magnoliopsida; Poales; Bromeliaceae
Description: long non-coding RNA (ACOM_LNC044204)
Source: RNAcentral